This 244-nucleotide ribosomal RNA is filed under the name uncultured bacterium. RNAcentral's name for it is "partial 16S ribosomal RNA". It matches the Rfam family "Bacterial small subunit ribosomal RNA", at positions 15 to 252 of the family's 1533-position model. The record is from RNAcentral.
GAUCAUGGCUCAGGACGAACGCUGGCGGCGCGCCUAACACAUGCAAGUCGAACGGAGCUGAGAGGAGCUUGCUUUUCUUGACUUAGUGGCGAACGGGUGAGUAACGCGUGAGUAACCUGCCCUGGAGUGGGGGACAACAGUUGGAAACGACUGCUAAUACCGCAUAAGCCCACGGCCCGGCAUCGGGCUGCGGGAAAAGGAUUUAUUCGCUUCAGGAUGGACUCGCGUCCAAUUAGCUAGUUGG